Long non-coding RNA from Ictalurus furcatus (blue catfish), 3636 nucleotides. RefSeq lists it as uncharacterized. NCBI's taxonomy places the organism in Eukaryota, Metazoa, Chordata, Actinopteri, Siluriformes, Ictaluridae. The record is from RefSeq and is a predicted model, not a curated record. The transcript has 3 exons.
AACGAAAUGUUGAGUAACCUGUUGUAUUAAAUAACUAACGUUGCUGUAAUUCAGUCCUUACAGUACUGAAUUAACUCGUAUAGUUCUGACUUACCUCUUAGGACUAAUUAAGUAGUACUGAAUGAACUCUUACGACUCUUACAAUAACUCUAAUAGAAAGAGCUCUUCAGAAAGAAUUCGGAGUAAAACUCAAGAAUUGAUUCCUUCUUGCAGUACUGAAUUAAGUCAUAGAAUGCUGAAUCGAGUACUGAGUUGGAUUUUAGAAUUCUGAUUUAGCUAACUGGACUUAUAGGCUACAUAAAAUGUGGGUGGGGUGGGGAUUCCAGUCUCUUUCUAAUAAGAGAUAAAGUUUAAGUCAUCUAGUUUAACUAAAAAUCGUCUUCAUGUGAAGUUUGGGUGUGGGGAGUGAACACUUUUUUUUUUUUUUUUUUUUUUUUUUUUUAAUCUGAGGAAAUGUCUGCACCUGUUGCAGUACAGAGUUUACUUUGUCUAACAUGCUGUUAUUUUGUACCAUUGAUAAGGGUUUUUUAUUUUUUUAAGGAAUGUGUGUGUGCAUGAGAGUAAGACAGUGAGAUAGUGUGAAGAGGGGGUUGGGGGUGAGAGGUGCUGGUUUCUUUCCCUCAGGCUUGCAUGUGAAUGCAGCCUUCACCAGGUGAUGAAAUGGCUCAUGCUGAGAAUAGCCUUUUGUUCUGAAUAUUCAGUUAUACAUCUUCAUCUUCAGUAUUCUGUGUCUGGUAAGAUGGUCUUGUGAGUACAGCACUUGCCAUGUAUUUGAAAAAAAAAAAAACAGGUAUGUUGCUCAGUUAGUGCUGUUUCCGUGGACAGACCCAGACACAAGAAGAUGGUGUGGCAGUGUGUCUUGUGCUGAAAGAUUGACAGCUUGUCCUGCAAGGGCAUCGUGUUGCGUGACUUCAGUGCUGUUUUGAAUCCUGUAGCCCGUAGCUCCUCCGGAGCAGUAAAGGAGGCAAUGCGUUUGCCAGACCAAAUAGGGCUUAAUGGCUAUUGAAGGAGUCACAGAAAAGUAGCAGCAAAACAAGAGAACAGUUGUUUCUGCAUUCAAAAAGGAGGAGAUGUGUUGCUUUUUACGACUGACAGAAGGACAGCUCUGUCGCUCUUGCAGUGCAGGAAUGGCUCCUAUUGAAAUGCACAUAAGGAAGGUGCUUUCUAGGAGCUCCGGUGUUCCUAGAGGUCCACCCUGCUUUAGACAAUGAGUCAAGUUGUUUCCCUCCCUUUGUUAUGCACUGUACCCCUACGGGCCACAUUGUCCAAUGGGUUUUUCUUAUCCCAUGUGCAUGUUUCUCCAAGUGAGGAGUUCUUCUCUUGAAUUUAACACAAGUGCAUACACCCCCAUGGAGAGGGUCUUAUCUGUUCUGUGUCCUUUAUUUCCUUUAUUUGAGGAUCCCGGGUGUCAUAUGAAUGACUGCACCACAUGCAGCUGCAGGCUCUUAGUCUGAAAUAUGCCAUCAGGUCCAUUUACAUUUUGUUAGAGUGGAGUGACCGGAGCAGUUUCGUCCAUUUUGAUUUACAGUGAUUUGAUGUCAUCCAUUAAAUACCUGACCCACGAGGCUCAGGGCUUUAUUCUGAUUAUGUAGAGAAACAUAAUGAGAGUUAUGACUAUGAGUGAGGACUAUGCCCGUUGUCUUUCAUGUUAUCAUCUUAAAACAACUUUAUUUAGUGGCUUUAUUCAGCCCCUGGGCACAAAGGAGCUUCACUACGAUUUUGAGAGCUCAUAAUCCAUUUUAGGGCGUGUCAGGGUUUAGGAAAUAAAGCCAGUUUUUCAGAAAAAGUAAGAUAGAACGUGUUUCUAAUCCCAAAGUAAUCAUCAGGAGCCUCUUCUGCAGGGAAUUGACAUUUUAUUUACGAGGCAAGGAAUAUGGUAUCUAAAUCCGACUGCAAAAUUUGAAUUGUAGUAUGUCACUUAAAUGUUAAACAUGGCUGAAUCAGCAUCUGUAUAUAGAAAGACUGUUGUAAAGUUAUUUGUUACAGACUUAUUAAGUUGUUUUUUUUACCAUGUGCAGUCACAGUUAAAUAAUAAUUUGACCGUUGUGCAACCAAAAUUAAAUGAGAUAUGUAAUUAAAUUGGGAGAAAACAAUUAUGUAGACUGACGCUUAUAAAUCAAGCACCUUGAGCUCUCGGGCUAGAACCAUGAGCGAUAAAAAUCAAAAUUGAACCGCCACAGUGUUUAACUAAACAAGCUACUUCCUGUUCAACUGGUUCAGGGGGAAAAAAACACUUUGCUUUAGUUAAAGACGAAGAUUCAAUUGACACCUCUCACCAAAACAGCCCAUUUACAGCAUCAAUAUUGAUAGGGGUAAUUGGUCCGGAAGUGUAGCUCUUGGUGUUGCAGCCAUAUUCUCAAUGUUCUUUUAAGUACAACAAGUUACAGCAUUUUACACAGGCUCUAAAUGUUCUAAUGCUUUUAUAGAGGCUCAACACUGAACUGUAGCCUACUGUUGCUUGCGGUUGGCCAAGAAAAAGGAGAAUAGGCUGCAGGUGGGGCGAUCUUUCAUUGGGGCAAACUUUGAUGUCGCUUUGCUUUGAGUGUGCAAGCCACCACGGAUUGCCUCUGCAGUUUGGAGCAGACACACCUGUUCCAGGUGUGUGGUCCCAUAGCUUUGCAUGCUUGAAAGUCUCUUUUUCCAGCAUUUCAAUUGUCUGUUAGCUUGUGUGUUAGGCCAAAGAGCACUAUUUCAACAGUCAGGGUAUUUCCUGACUGUUUCCCUUACAUGGGGUGAAGAGUCAGCUAUAUAUAAAAAAAAAAUGUUAUUCAUUUACAGUAUUGUAAUCUAGGUUAACUCAAGUUGAAUCAUGUCUGCUUAAUGAAAUGUUAUGAAUGAAACAGUAGGAAAUGAAGUGCAUAAUGCACCUCUUAGACCUGAUUUUAACUUGAGAAUAGGCUGGCGCAUAGGCGUUAAUAUUGUAACUGGGUUUCAUGCUGAAUCCUCAAGGCAGGGCAGAUCAGGGUGUAGUAGGCAGACCCCUCACCAAGUAGGAAUGUGAAAAGAAUCUGCAGCAUGCAAACCAAGACAUGCACAGUUGACUUACUUAGGUCACGAUGGACGAUUUUAUUACACAUUACCAUUGAAACAUGUGGCACAACGAAGGUGUCUGCAAGUACGGAGAAAGUGCAUCUCAAAACAAGUUAGCUGACCUUCAUGUUUUGGCAUCAGUUCUGAUUGGCAGCUGUGACUGCCUCCCUGCGUCCUGCAUGCAAAUGCUGAUAAUAUGAACACGUGAGGCUCUACAGGCCUUGGAAAUUCAACCGUGCUAUGUCCAAAUGCAUUUGUACUGUAGAUAAAGGAGCAGUGAUGAAAAAGCAAACAUCUAGGUUUUUUGUUUUUUUUGAUGCAGUAGCCAUUGUGAACUUGCCCAUGUAGUCACCAGGAGCUGAGUGUAUUUGAUGUGGCUCUUUGAUAUUUAAUGACUACUCAUUAAUGGGAGACAUUGCUGGAUUUUUAAUGCAUUCUGGCCCCUGGGGGUAUCUACCAUCAAAUUCAUAAUUUAGCACUUAAUGGAUAUGAUUCCGGAGUGCACUUAUCUCUUAACCUGCAAAAUGCUUUUUAUGAAGCAUUGGCCUGACAGACAUUCACUGACUAAAUUUAUGGCAGUUUCAAGAAGCUUUAAUGGCACUUGCU